Molecule: ribosomal RNA, 408 nt
Filed under: uncultured bacterium
Lineage: Bacteria
Description: partial 16S ribosomal RNA
Rfam family: Bacterial small subunit ribosomal RNA
Source: RNAcentral
AGUGAACGCUGGCGGCGUGCCUAAUACAUGCAAGUCGAGCGGAGUGGCGCACGGGUGAGUAAUGUAUAGCUAAUCUGCCCUACACUAGAAGACAACAGUUGGUAACGGCUGCUAAUACUCCAUAGUGUAGGAUGAGGCUAUAUUGUAUCAGUUAGCUGGUGAGGUAAUGGCUCACCAAGGCUAUGACGCAUAACUGGUCUGAGGGGAUGAGCAGUCACACUGGAACGGAGACACGGUCCAGACUCCUACGGGAGGGAGCAGUAGGGAAUAGUGCUCAAUGGGGGAAACCCUGAAGCAGCAACGGCGCGUAGAGGAUGACACUUUUCGGAGCGUAAACUCCUUUUGUUAGGGAAGCGGUACCUAACGAAUAAGCACCGGCUAACUCCGUGCCAGCAGCCGCGGUAAUUC